UAACACAUGCAAGUCGAACGGAAAGGCCCCUUCGGGGGUACUCGAGUGGCGAACGGGUGAGUAACACGUGGGUGAUCUGCCCUGCACUUUGGGAUAAGCCUGGGAAACUGGGUCUAAUACCGAAUAGGACCACGCGCUUCAUGGUGUGUGGUGGAAAGCUUUUGCGGUGUGGGAUGGGCCCGCGGCCUAUCAGCUUGUUGGUGGGGUAAUGGCCUACCAAGGCGACGACGGGUAGCCGGCCUGAGAGGGUGUCCGGCCACACUGGGACUGAGAUACGGCCCAGACUCCUACGGGAGGCAGCAGUGGGGAAUAUUGCACAAUGGGCGCAAGCCUGAUGCAGCGACGCCGCGUGGGGGAUGACCGGCUUCGGGUUGUAAACCUCUUUCAGUAUCGGCGAAGCUCCAGGAUUCUUCUUGGGGUGACGGUAGGUACAGAAGAAGCACCGGCCAACUAC
RNAcentral lists this ribosomal RNA (454 nucleotides) under Mycobacterium sp. MZ-6454. RNAcentral describes it as "bacterial SSU rRNA". It matches the Rfam family "Bacterial small subunit ribosomal RNA", at positions 49 to 504 of the family's 1533-position model. Lineage: Bacteria; Bacillati; Actinomycetota; Actinomycetes; Mycobacteriales; Mycobacteriaceae. The record is from RNAcentral.